Molecule: ribosomal RNA, 305 nt
Filed under: uncultured bacterium
Lineage: Bacteria
Description: bacterial SSU rRNA
Rfam family: Bacterial small subunit ribosomal RNA
Source: RNAcentral
UCCUACGGGGGGCAGCAGUGAGGAAUAUUGGUCAAUGGGCGGAAGCCUGAACCAGCCAAGUCGCGUGAGGGAUUAAGGCCCUAUGGGUCGUAAACCUCUUUUGUCAGGGAGCAAUGGCGUCCACGUGUGGGCGUAUGGAGAGUACCUGAAGAAAAAGCAUCGGCUAACUCCGUGCCAGCAGCCGCGGUAAUACGGAGGAUGCGAGCGUUAUCCGGAUUUAUUGGGUUUAAAGGGUGCGCAGGCGGUCUGUUAAGUCAGCGGUCAAAGCCCGGGGCUCAACCCCGGCCCGCCGUUGAAACUGGCAG